RNAcentral lists this transfer-messenger RNA (251 nucleotides) under Rubrivivax sp. RNAcentral's name for it is "partial transfer-messenger RNA". It matches the Rfam family "transfer-messenger RNA", at positions 1 to 253 of the family's 374-position model. From Rfam's summary of the family: Bacterial tmRNA, also known as 10Sa RNA or SsrA, is named for its dual tRNA and mRNA-like properties. Its role is to liberate the mRNA from a stalled ribosome. To accomplish this part of the tmRNA is used as a reading frame that ends in a translation stop signal. Lineage: Bacteria; Pseudomonadati; Pseudomonadota; Betaproteobacteria; Burkholderiales; Sphaerotilaceae. The record is from RNAcentral.
GGGACCGACUUGGCUUCGACGUGGGUACGGAGUCGGCGCGGGGCAUGCCGAGCACCAGUUCGCUCGUAAAUCCACUGGAAACAAGUAACUGCGAACGACGAACGUUUCGCUCUCGCCGCUUAAACACCGGUGAGCCUCUCAACGGUUGGCCGAUGGGCCGGGCCGGCGCCGCAAGGCAAGGGCUGAGAGGUCAUUCACAUCGGCUGGGUGCCGGCCAUGUCGCUGGGCAGGCACCGAGACUCAGCGAAUCG